GAAGGGGGCUAGCGUUGCUCGGAAUGACUGGGCGUAAAGGGCGCGCAGGCGGUUUGGGCAGUCAGAUGUGAAAUUCCCGGGCUUAACCUGGGGGCUGCAUUUGAUACGUUCAGACUAGAGUGUGAAAGAGGGUUGUGGAACUCCAAGUGUAGAGGUGAAAUUCGUAGAUAUUUGGAAGAACACCGGUGGCGAAGGCGGCGACCUGGUUCACAACUGACGCUGAGGCGCGAAAGCGUGGGGAGCAAACAGGAUUAGAUACCCUGGUAGUCCACGCUGUAAACGAUGUAUGCUAGAUGUUAGGCAACCUAGUUGUUUAGUGUCGGAGCUAACGCGAUAAGCAUACCGCCUGGGGAGUACGGCCGCAAGGUUG
RNAcentral lists this ribosomal RNA (370 nucleotides) under uncultured bacterium. RNAcentral's name for it is "bacterial SSU rRNA". It matches the Rfam family "Bacterial small subunit ribosomal RNA", at positions 527 to 896 of the family's 1533-position model. The record is from RNAcentral.